CCUACGGGAGGCAGCAGUGAGGAAUAUUGGUCAAUGGACGAGAGUCUGAACCAGCCAAGUAGCGUGAAGGAUGACUGCCCUAUGUGUUGUAAACUUCUUUUAUAUGGGAAUAAAACGUUCCACGUGUGGGAUUUUGUAUGUACCAUAUGAAUAAGGAUCGGCUAACUACGUGCCAGCAGCCGCGGUAAUACGGAGGUUCCGAGCGUUAUCCGGAUUUAUUGGGUUUAAAGGGAGCGUAGGUGGAAUGUUAAGUUAGUAGUGAAAGGUUGCGGCUCAACCGUAAAAUUGCAGUUGAAACUGGCAGGCUUGAGUGCAGUAGAGGUGGGCGGAAUUCGUGGUGUAGCGGUGAAAUGCUUAGAUAUCACGAAGAACACCGGUUGCGAAGGCAGUUCACUGGACUGCAACUGACACUGAGGCUCGAAAGUGUGGGUAUCAAACAGGAUUAGAUACCCCAGUAGUC
Molecule: ribosomal RNA, 460 nt
Filed under: uncultured bacterium
Lineage: Bacteria
Description: partial 16S ribosomal RNA
Rfam family: Bacterial small subunit ribosomal RNA
Source: RNAcentral